GUCCACGCCCUAAACGAUGUCGACUAGUUGUCGGGCCUUUACAGGCUUGGUAACGCAGCUAACGCGUGAAGUCGACCGCCUGGGGAGUACGGUCGCAAGAUUAAAACUCAAAGGAAUUGACGGGGACCCGCACAAGCGGUGGAUGAUGUGGAUUAAUUCGAUGCAACGCGAAAAACCUUACCUACCCUUGACAUGCCAGGAAUCCCGCAGAGAUGUGGGAGUGCCCGAAAGGGAGCCUGGACACAGGUGCUGCAUGGCUGUCGU
Molecule: ribosomal RNA, 264 nt
Filed under: uncultured bacterium
Lineage: Bacteria
Description: partial 16S ribosomal RNA
Rfam family: Bacterial small subunit ribosomal RNA
Source: RNAcentral